RNAcentral lists this ribosomal RNA (440 nucleotides) under uncultured bacterium. RNAcentral describes it as "partial 16S ribosomal RNA". It matches the Rfam family "Bacterial small subunit ribosomal RNA", at positions 338 to 795 of the family's 1533-position model. The record is from RNAcentral.
CCUACGGGAGGCAGCAGUGGGGAAUAUUGCACAAUGGGGGAAACCCUGAUGCAGCGACGCCGCGUGAGUGAAGAAGUCAUUCGUUAUGUAAAGCUCUAUCAGCAGGGAAGAAAAUGACGGUACCUGAGUAAUAAGCCCCGGCUAACUACGUGCCAGCAGCCGCGGUCAUACGUCGGGGGCAAGCGGUAUCCGGAUUUACUGGGUGUAAAGGGAGCGUAGACGGCAGUGCAAGUCUGGAGUGAAAGGCGGGGGCUCAACCCCCGGACUGCUCUGGAAACUGUACGGCUGGAGUGCAGGAGAGGUAAGUGGAAUUCCUAGUGUAGCGGUGAAAUGCGUAGAUAUUAGGAGGAACACCAGUGGCGAAGGCGGCUUACUGGACUGUAACUGACGUUGAGGCUCGAAAGCGUGGGGAGCAAACAGGAUUAGAUACCCGGGUAGUC